Molecule: long non-coding RNA, 304 nt
Filed under: Mytilus galloprovincialis (Mediterranean mussel)
Lineage: Eukaryota; Metazoa; Mollusca; Bivalvia; Mytilida; Mytilidae
Source: RNAcentral
UCCCGCCGCAAGUGGAUAAUUUUAAUAGUGUAAAAAUAUGCAAGUGUUCGGUAAACAGGAAGUUGUUGAGUGAUGAAUCUGAAAACGCAUCACACGGUAUAGCUGACUUGUAUAAAUCCUGAAACCAAAUUUCAGAAAUCCUUGUAUUGUAGUUCCUGAGAAAAAUGUGACGGAAAUUUUCAACUUGGUUAUCAUGUGUAAAAUAGUACAAGUGUUCGGUAAACAGGAAGUUGUUGAGUGAUGAAUCUGAAAACGCAUCACACGGUAUAGCAUACUUAUAUAAACCUUGAAACAAAAUUUCAGA